AAUGAACGCUGGCGGCAUGCCUAACACAUGCAAGUCGAACGAAGGCUUCGGCCUUAGUGGCGCACGGGUGCGUAACGCGUGGGAAUCUGCCCUUGGGUUCGGAAUAACUCGCCGAAAGGCGUGCUAAUACCGAAUGAUGACGUAAGUCCAAAGAUUUAUCGCCCAGGGAUGAGCCCGCGUAGGAUUAGCUUGUUGGUGAGGUAAAAGCUCACCAAGGCGACGAUCCUUAGCGGUCUGAGAGGAUGAUCAGCCACACUGGGACUGAGACACGGCCCAGACUCCUACGGGAGGCAGCAGUGGGGAAGUAUUGGACAAUGGGCGAAAGCCUGAUCCAGCAAUGCCGCGUGAGUGAUGAA
Molecule: ribosomal RNA, 356 nt
Filed under: uncultured bacterium
Lineage: Bacteria
Description: bacterial SSU rRNA
Rfam family: Bacterial small subunit ribosomal RNA
Source: RNAcentral